This 366-nucleotide unclassified non-coding RNA is filed under the name Spizellomyces sp. RNAcentral's name for it is "partial internal transcribed spacer region". The stretch from base 1 to 46 matches the Rfam family "Eukaryotic small subunit ribosomal RNA", at positions 1786 to 1831 of the family's 1831-position model. The record is from RNAcentral. Lineage: Eukaryota; Fungi; Chytridiomycota; Chytridiomycetes; Spizellomycetales; Spizellomycetaceae.
AAGUCGUAACAAGGUAACCGUAGGUGAACCUGCGGUUGGAUCAUUAACAAAUUGAUCAGGGCAAAAGGCUUCAUGGCCUUGCCCGCGUUUCUCUCGCGAAAGCGAGUCCGAAACACACACCCAAUUGUGAACCGUUUUCUGUCUCUGGCGGUGGGGUUCGGCGAGGAAAGUUCUUUUUGACUUUGUUCUCGAACCUGUCAGCAACGAUCGCACGAGCCUUUUUUUGAAAGGCCCACCGUGAGCGCUGCCGUGGACAAGCCGCCAACCGUUUCUUCAAUAACGCUUUGUCUGAUUAUGUUUGUCUUACCUGUUUUCUUUGUAUGAAUGUACAAAAAACAACUUUUGGCAACGGAUCUCUUGGCUCUC